RNAcentral lists this ribosomal RNA (637 nucleotides) under Microbacterium sp. Se1Ps_2000. RNAcentral's name for it is "bacterial SSU rRNA". It matches the Rfam family "Bacterial small subunit ribosomal RNA", at positions 381 to 1029 of the family's 1533-position model. The record is from RNAcentral. Lineage: Bacteria; Bacillati; Actinomycetota; Actinomycetes; Micrococcales; Microbacteriaceae.
GCCUGAUGCAGCAACGCCGCGUGAGGGACGACGGCCUUCGGGUUGUAAACCUCUUUUAGCAGGGAAGAAGCGAAAGUGACGGUACCUGCAGAAAAAGCACCGGCUAACUACGUGCCAGCAGCCGCGGUAAUACGUAGGGUGCAAGCGUUAUCCGGAAUUAUUGGGCGUAAAGAGCUCGUAGGCGGUUUGUCGCGUCUGCUGUGAAAACUGGGGGCUCAACCCCCAGCCUGCAGUGGGUACGGGCAGACUAGAGUGCGGUAGGGGAGAUUGGAAUUCCUGGUGUAGCGGUGGAAUGCGCAGAUAUCAGGAGGAACACCGAUGGCGAAGGCAGAUCUCUGGGCCGUAACUGACGCUGAGGAGCGAAAGGGUGGGGAGCAAACAGGCUUAGAUACCCUGGUAGUCCACCCCGUAAACGUUGGGAACUAGUUGUGGGGUCCAUUCCACGGAUUCCGUGACGCAGCUAACGCAUUAAGUUCCCCGCCUGGGGAGUACGGCCGCAAGGCUAAAACUCAAAGGAAUUGACGGGGACCCGCACAAGCGGCGGAGCAUGCGGAUUAAUUCGAUGCAACGCGAAGAACCUUACCAAGGCUUGACAUAUACGAGAACGCUGCAGAAAUGUAGAACUCUUUGGACACUC